CCCCCCUUUCCAUGUUUAAAACAAACACAAAUUCUGGGUGUAUUUUGACUUUCUUUCCAGUAUAUCUUUUGUGUUCGGAUUUUUGUCGACGGAUCUGUUUAACUCAUUUGUGAAAUGUUUUGACUUGAGGGCUGUUUUAUUGACCUGAUGGCCAAAAUACAUCAAAAUUAGAGAUUGUUGUCCAGGGAACAUUCCCAUUGACAUCAGACAUUGUUCUCCGCCUGCACCGGGACGGAGCUUGACAUUUUAUCUUCCUUAUACAAUCUAAAGAAGAGCCUCUGUCAGAUGGCAUUGAGACUGGACGGCUGUCUCCACAGGCAUGCGGGAUUUUCAAAGGGGGGCUUCUCGCUGGAUCCUUUCACGAGCUCGGAGGCAGUCACGAGAACUUUUGAGCGGAAUGAACAGCCAGUAGUCAGCUCCUUCAAGUUUUCACGGACAGAGGGCCGCAGCUUAGAAUUUUUUUGAACACCCUGCACAAAACGUAACAAAUGGACUUACACUGCAAGGUAACCGUGUGAACUGAUGGUGGCCAGAUGUUGUGAUGUUUGCUGUCACCAUCUACUGGCGCAGUGCCUCAACCUCAGUCGUAAGUUACAUUUUUGCUUGCAACACAAAGCAAAAAAAUAAAAUAAAAAAUGACCGAGGCAAGGGAAGUUGUAAAUUGGGACAUUUGUAAGUCAAGGUAUUAACUACGGUAGGGAUUUUUUUUUUCCCUCUGGUGUUUUGAGUUUUUACCCUUUUGGAGGACCUUUUUGCUGAGACCAAAGUUUCUGACACUGGGCAGCACAUUUCAUUCGUUGAUAGUCUUUGUUUCAUUAUAGCCUGCACAGAUCCAAUACAGCCAGUGCCGGAUGGAACAAAGCAGCCCCAGAUUAUAGCCGAAUCUCCUCACUGUUUAUUACCGUACCCUUCUAACCUGAGACAGCUGGAGCAGUUUGCUUACAUGGAGUGUCCCAAAACACGUCUACAGAAAUGUUUUAUUGCAGUGAUUGCCUCUAAAAUGGUACUGUACUCGUACUUUUUUUCUUUUUUCUUUGCAUGCCUGUUUAAACGGCUUCAGUGCAUGUCGGCCAUUCCGCAGUGCUUGCAGGAGUUACUUUAGUAUUAGCAGUUAAGCCGUAGAUUUGGAGCAGGGUUGCAGAAACGGGAAUAUUAAUUCUCACAUAUUGAGCUCCAUGAGCCUUGUAUCGCAGCCAAAGUGUAAAACCUUCAUUUUUUCUUUUUUUUUUUUUUUUCUUUUUUAAACUGCACAAGAGGAUUUGAUUGUAAUUCGACACUGCGGAUCCUUGUCUCCUGCAUUUGAAAGUGCUGGCACGUGCUAAUACAUGCAAAGCCCAUUUCCAUAUACCGUAUGUAUGCUGAUGCAUGGAAAACGUAAAUAGAGCUGCAGCACUCACUCGUAAAUCCGCCAUAGCUCCAUUUUUAUUUUUUUCAACACUGACGUGAUGAUUUGCUAUCUGCUGCAUUAAAAUGUUACUUUGCGCCAAUGAAGGUCUGUAAAUUAGUUUGGACAGGAGACUAAUAUUGUCCGACUGAUGAAAUAAAUUGCUUGUAAGGCUUUUGCAGUGGUCCAAUUUGCUCAGUAGACAUCAACAGUAAUGUGUAGACUGAAAGUGUAAAAACUGUAAUUCACUAACAAAAAGAAAAGCAUAUUUAAUAGCCAAAUUAAAAUCGUUAUGCGUUAUUAUACGCAGUCAUCACUUUGUUUAAAAAAAAAAUAAAAAAUAAUAAUCUGUAAACAUUCUGACAUUAUUGAUCUUUUCUAUCAGACAGGGCUUUGGCCUGAGCAUAAAAAAAUAAUUAGCUCCUUUUUUUUUUUUUUUAAGAGAAUAUUGGAAGCUUUCCCCCAAAAUUUUGCAAAUAGACAAAUUUGCUAAUGGCCAAUUUGGUUCACUGCAAUAAAUGUUAGUCACUGGAAA
Long non-coding RNA from Phyllopteryx taeniolatus (common seadragon), 1919 nucleotides. RefSeq lists it as uncharacterized. The transcript has 4 exons. The record is from RefSeq and is a predicted model, not a curated record. Lineage: Eukaryota; Metazoa; Chordata; Actinopteri; Syngnathiformes; Syngnathidae.